UAAGUGUGAAAAAAUAUAAAGACAACGCUCGUUAAAAAAAAAAACAGGGUAGCUCCUCAGCACCCUAUUCUUUUUUUGUUCCCCUGUUUGUUCUUCUUAACGAAAAUUUCCUGGAAAGUCACUUGCACAGAUGUGAGAAAAGGCAGAAUUAUGAAAUCCUAGGAGCGACUCAGCAGCAAAAAUAAACAGGCCUACGAACCAUACGGGGCACCCAGGAGGCAAAACGUGUUGUGCAGCUUUUCUGGUGAGGUUUGCCCACACGCUGCUGGGAAAGCAGGGCUGGGCUUCGCGGCUGGCUCACGGUGACGCUGAGAGCCGGGCUCCACAGUGCGCUCAUUAGCACUGCUUCUGCAUCCUCUCUGCCCAUGCCCAUUUAUUUUUAUUUAUGUAUUUAUGUAUUUAUUUUUUUGCAAGCAACUUCCAGAGAAGUAUUGAAAUAAGUCUGAAUCUUCAAGUUUAUUAUUAUUAUUAUUAUUAUUAUUAUUAUUAUUAUUAUUAUUUUUAUUUUUAUUUUUAUUUUUAUUUUUAUUUUUAAUUUUUAAAUGUGAUUGUCAGAGAUUAGAAUGCCUUUCCCAACAUCCAGAAAAGUAAUAUGUUUGGACUCGAGUUCUUAAAAAAAAAAAAAAAAAUCAAUAAAUGACUGCAUGGCUACAGGUAUUUUUCCUCUCACCUUUCACUUGAUUCAUCAAAGUACACCACUGUGCUUGUCAGCCUCGUGUUUGAGAACAGAAAGGCAUAUAGUGCAGUCUUAUCUGUGGAAAUAAUCAGCGAGGAUUGCAGGAGAGGCAGUAGCUCUUAUUAGACUAAUUUAUUGUCUGGAAAAAAAAAAAAGAAAAAGAAAAAAGAAAAAAAAAAAGCAAACCAAAAUGAAUAAACACCAGCCUUCAGCACAUAGCUUUCAGCUCAUCUUCAGACCCUCACUUUCAGGAAGCCAGCUGCCCCGAGGCAAGCCGAGUUCUGUUCCAGACCGUUCAGCUUUUGGUGAGCACACCCAGCCCGCCCCUGUCAGCCCGGCAGGCCUCUUCAGUGACAGCAGGAGAAGCCACAGCGCUCUGUAUAUUUAUUUCUGGCACCUUUUGCCAGGUGGAGGAGAUGCACCUCACAGCUCCACAGGUGUAGCUCCAUACAUUUCACUGAAAUAACCAACAGAGUGAGAUGAAGAACAUCCAAAAUCCAAAGAAGUGAGUGUAGCUGAACGACAUUCCUGCUGCCUGCUGCCUUUACGCCUACCACAGGUUAAAAAUGCCCAUUGAGGAAGGAAAAUGGAUGUUAAGUUUUAAUGACCCAUAUACAUGAGUGGGAAACCGACCAAGGAAAAUUCUUCAUGCUCUGGCAAAGGGACAUACAGACGUACUUCUUGGAUUGAUAGCGACUGGCGCACAGAAGGAGUCCCAAAAGAUGCAAUGCUUCACCAGUGUAGGUGCUGAUUUAUCCUUCAACAACAGCUUAGCAAUUUUUGCAAGUUCUCUGCUUAAAUAAAUCAGUCAAGGAAGGAGCUUGCUCCA
Molecule: long non-coding RNA, 1505 nt
Filed under: Anas platyrhynchos platyrhynchos (common mallard)
Lineage: Eukaryota; Metazoa; Chordata; Aves; Anseriformes; Anatidae
Description: lncRNA (ENSAPLG00000029003.1)
Source: RNAcentral